RNAcentral lists this ribosomal RNA (415 nucleotides) under uncultured beta proteobacterium. Its description in RNAcentral is "bacterial SSU rRNA". It matches the Rfam family "Bacterial small subunit ribosomal RNA", at positions 9 to 426 of the family's 1533-position model. The record is from RNAcentral. Lineage: Bacteria; Pseudomonadati; Pseudomonadota; Betaproteobacteria.
GAGUUUGAUCGUGGCUCAGAUUGAACGCUGGCGGCAUGCCUUACACAUGCAAGUCGAGCGGCAGCGCGGGGGCAACCCUGGCGGCGAGCGGCGUACGGGUGAGUAAUGCAUCGGAACGUGUCCUCUUGUGGGGGAGUAACCAGUCGAAAGACUGGCUAAUACCGCAUGAGAUCGCAAGAUGAAGCAGGGACCCGCAAGGGCCUUGCGCGAGAGGAGCGGCCGAUGCCCGAUUAGCUAGUUGGCGGGGUAACGGCCCACCAAGGCGACGAUCGGUAGCUGGUCUGAGAGGACGACCAGCCACACUGGGACUGAGACACGGCCCAGACUCCUACGGGAGGCAGCAGUGGGGAAUUUUGGACAAUGGGGGCAACCCUGAUCCAGCCAUGCCGCGUGUGUGAAGAAGGCCUUCGGUUGU